RNAcentral lists this ribosomal RNA (465 nucleotides) under Vreelandella stevensii. RNAcentral describes it as "partial 16S ribosomal RNA". It matches the Rfam family "Bacterial small subunit ribosomal RNA", at positions 338 to 795 of the family's 1533-position model. The record is from RNAcentral. Lineage: Bacteria; Pseudomonadati; Pseudomonadota; Gammaproteobacteria; Oceanospirillales; Halomonadaceae.
CCUACGGGUGGCUGCAGUGGGGAAUAUUGGACAAUGGGCGAAAGCCUGAUCCAGCCAUGCCGCGUGUGUGAAGAAGGCCUUCGGGUUGUAAAGCACUUUCAGUGGGGAAGAAAGCCUUGGGGCUAAUACCCUCGAGGAAGGACAUCACCCACAGAAGAAGCACCGGCUAACUCCGUGCCAGCAGCCGCGGUAAUACGGAGGGUGCGAGCGUUAAUCGGAAUUACUGGGCGUAAAGCGCGCGUAGGCGGUCUGAUAAGCCGGUUGUGAAAGCCCCGGGCUCAACCUGGGAACGGCAUCCGGAACUGUCAGGCUAGAGUGCAGGAGAGGAAGGUAGAAUUCCCGGUGUAGCGGUGAAAUGCGUAGAGAUCGGGAGGAAUACCAGUGGCGAAGGCGGCCUUCUGGACUGACACUGACGCUGAGGUGCGAAAGCGUGGGUAGCAAACAGGAUUAGAUACCCCUAUAGUC